Molecule: ribosomal RNA, 465 nt
Filed under: Triticum aestivum (bread wheat)
Lineage: Eukaryota; Viridiplantae; Streptophyta; Magnoliopsida; Poales; Poaceae
Description: partial small subunit ribosomal RNA
Source: RNAcentral
AUGAGGAGCCCCCCAACGGCUGUCAUGACGGUGGCAGCGCUGCUGCUGCUGCUGGUAUGCCUGACGGCGGCGACGGAGGACACGACGGCCAAGGAGAGGGAGUGGGAGAGGAUCCAGGAGUUGCACGAUCGGGUCUUGGCGGACUGGAAGGCAGGGCACGGCAAGAACAUCAGGAGCGAGGAGGAGAGUCGACGGGCGUUUGCCCAGUGGAAGGCCGAGUACCGCAAGAAGUACAGCUCCGCUCGCGAGGAGGAACUCCGUUACGCUUUCUUCAAGGAGAGCCUCCGCACGGUCGAUCUGCACAAUGCCGCCUUUGGCCCCAACUCAGUUUACAGCAUAAAAAACGGGCUGUUCAGCGACCGCAGCGAUGAGGAGUGGCGCUGCCUGAGCCAGGGAAUGUCGCCAUAUAUACCAAGAGAAGAACCUAAUCCACAAAUGCUUCCAAACUACUCCCUCCGUUCCUAA